Molecule: ribosomal RNA, 393 nt
Filed under: uncultured bacterium
Lineage: Bacteria
Description: bacterial SSU rRNA
Rfam family: Bacterial small subunit ribosomal RNA
Source: RNAcentral
GCCUUCGGGUUGUAAAGCUCUUUCUUCUGUGACGAUGAUGACUGUCCGCGAGGAGGAAGCCACGGCUAACUACGUGCCAGCAGCCGCGGUAAUACUUAGGUGGCAAGCGUUGUCCGGAAUUACUGGGCGUAAAGAAUGCGUAAGUGGUUUUUUAAGUGGGAUGUGAAAUCCCUGGGCUCAACCCAAGAACUGCAUUCCAAACUGGACAACUAGAGUGCGGGAGAGGAAAAUGGUAUUCCCAGUGUAGCGGUGAAAUGCGUAUAGAUUGGGAGGAACACCAUUAGCGAAGGCGAUUUUCUGGAACGUAACUGACGCUGAGGCAUGAAAGCGUGGGGAGCAAACAGGAUUAGAUACCCUGGUAGUCCACGCCGUAAACUAUGAGUACUAGGUGUA